RNAcentral lists this long non-coding RNA (243 nucleotides) under Panax ginseng (ginseng). Its description in RNAcentral is "long non-coding RNA (PGIN_LNC013811)". Lineage: Eukaryota; Viridiplantae; Streptophyta; Magnoliopsida; Apiales; Araliaceae. The record is from RNAcentral.
UAUUUAAUAUUUUUAUAAUAUAUUUUUAUUUUGUAAUCUAUGAAUAGAAAAAGAUCGAAGCUUACCGCUGCGUUAAAUUUGGCUUUUGAAGAGACCGGCCUAGAACAGUAACAACAAAACAUGAUGAAAGUGGAUAUUGGUCUUCUUUUUUUUUUUUUUUUUUUUUUUUUUUUUUUUUUUUUUUUUUUUUUUUUUUUUUUUUUUUUUUUUUUUUUUUUUUUUUUUUUUUUUUUUUUUUUUUUU